Non-coding RNA from Pelobates cultripes (western spadefoot toad), 549 nucleotides. The record is from the annotation of a GenBank genome assembly. NCBI's taxonomy places the organism in Eukaryota, Metazoa, Chordata, Amphibia, Anura, Pelobatidae.
CUUACAUUCAGACGAAUCCAAUACAUUUUACACAUAGAACUUAGCUAUUUUACACAAAUAUAUUCCCUUACUGCAUAGACAUUUAGCAAAUAGACGAAUACAGUUUAAACAUAAUGUAAGUCCCAGGGCAGCUCAUGGCCAUCCGCUACAAUCCUAUUCUUGAAUUCAAUAUUCUUCUGAAAUACUUUGUUCUUUACAUAGUUGAAUGUAUUGACAACAAAAUCACACAAAAAUUCAAAAAUGGAAUUCAAAUUUUUCAACCCAUGGAGGUCUGGAUUUGGAGUCACACUCAAAAUUAAAGUGGAAAAACACACUACAGGCUGAUCCAACCAUGGGCGUGUGUCGUCGUCCCCCCACCCCCCCUGGAUUUUUCAGCUCGUGCUGCUAUUUUUGGUUUGUGUGAGAAUACACUGCAAUACCGGCACUGGCCAGUAGGUGGAAUAGAUAAAGGCAAGAAGCUACAGCUUAUCCCUGCCUCUCGCUCAUGACUGAAACCGCAGGGGAGCAGCACAGAGGCAAGUGAGGGAUGGGGGGCACUAUUACCCCCUC